UACGUAGGGUCCGAGCGUUGUCCGGAAUUACUGGGCGUAAAGUGUGCGCAGGUGGCCGCGCAAGUCGAGUGUGAAAUCCCCGAGCUUAACUUGGGAAUUGCGCUCGAAACUACGUGGCUCGAGUGUGGCAGAGGAAGGUGGAAUUCCACGUGUAGCGGUGAAAUGCGUAGAGAUGUGGAGGAACACCGAUGGCGAAGGCAGCCUUCUGGGCCAACACUGACGCUCAUGCACGAAAGCGUGGGGAGCAAACAGG
This 253-nucleotide ribosomal RNA is filed under the name uncultured bacterium. RNAcentral describes it as "partial 16S ribosomal RNA". It matches the Rfam family "Bacterial small subunit ribosomal RNA", at positions 524 to 776 of the family's 1533-position model. The record is from RNAcentral.